UCUUAUGGUAAUUAUAUAAAGACAUUACCUCACUAUUGUUUUGUUGUAUUGGAAAAUUGUGAAUCAUUUAUUUCCUGUGAAACAAGUGUGAAACCCUUCACUGACUGUCAUGUGACAGCUGGGAAUUCUGCUAUGAAGUGACUUCGUGGGUGGAAGUCAUGAUAGUGUGCACUUUAGACAAAGUCACAAAGCUCUUUAAAGAUGCCCUUCCUAAAACUUGCUUUCUUAAAAUUCCUGUUAAUCUACAGUCUCACCAUCUGCAGAAAUUCUUACCAAUUUUCACCAAGUUUUAGCUAGUCUGUGGUUUAGGAUUUACAGGCUCUACAAGAAAAAAAAAUUCUAUAGUUGCUGGAGAUGUGUCAAAGAGGUCUGUAUAUGACAGUAUUUACAGAUUAAGAUGUUGGGCUCUUUAAUGCAGUUUUUGUUUUCUGUAUUAAGCAAAUUCUAAUUUUUAUAUGUGGUUUUUGACUGUGGGGGUUGUCUCUAUAGUUUGUCUUACUGUUGAAAUGACAUGGUUAUCCAAAGCCUCUAGUGUCCGUCAGGUGUGUAUUCUCUAUAUAGAUGUAUCAGCUGGAGGUCAGAGCUCCCACUUGUUUUGAAGUUCUGUGGAGCUGACUAGUACCGCGCAGUGACAGGAAUCGUUUACUUGUUUUCAGGGCGGGGGUUAUUGCAGUGGAUUCUUUUCUUCAUCAAAUGCGCUUCUUGUUUUCUUAUUAAAUGCUAUCUCAGAUUUUAUUUUUAGAUGAUUUUUUAACCUUAAAUUCAUUCUAUUCACCUAUUACUGUGAAUUGUGUUUCUAUUUAUUUUCCUUGGCUAAUUUAACUUUAUUCGUUACUUCCUAGAUUUUUCUAUGGCACUGUUUAGAACUAUUGUAUUGCUU
This 880-nucleotide long non-coding RNA is filed under the name Mus musculus (house mouse). RNAcentral describes it as "long non-coding RNA chr6:31510903-31511783". Lineage: Eukaryota; Metazoa; Chordata; Mammalia; Rodentia; Muridae. The record is from RNAcentral.